UACGUAGGGUGCAAGCGUUGUCCGGAAUUAUUGGGCGUAAAGAGCUCGUAGGCGGUUUGUCGCGUCUGCUGUGAAAACCUAAGGCUCAACCUUGGGCUUGCAGUGGGUACGGGCAGACUAGAGUGCGGUAGGGGUGACUGGAAUUCCUGGUGUAGCGGUGGAAUGCGCAGAUAUCAGGAGGAACACCGAUGGCGAAGGCAGGUCACUGGGCCGCAACUGACGCUGGAGG
This 229-nucleotide ribosomal RNA is filed under the name uncultured bacterium. RNAcentral describes it as "partial 16S ribosomal RNA". It matches the Rfam family "Bacterial small subunit ribosomal RNA", at positions 524 to 752 of the family's 1533-position model. The record is from RNAcentral.